RNAcentral lists this ribosomal RNA (425 nucleotides) under uncultured bacterium. Its description in RNAcentral is "partial 16S ribosomal RNA". It matches the Rfam family "Bacterial small subunit ribosomal RNA", at positions 354 to 796 of the family's 1533-position model. The record is from RNAcentral.
GUGGGGAAUCUUGCGCAAUGGGCGAAAGCCUGACGCAGCCAUGCCGCGUGGAUGAUGAAGGUCUUAGGAUUGUAAAAUCCUUUCACCGGUGAAGAUAAUGACUGUAGCCGGAGAAGAAGCCCCGGCUAACUUCGUGCCAGCAGCCGCGGUAAUACGAAGGGGGCUAGCGUUGCUCGGAUUUACUGGGCGUAAAGGGCGCGUAGGCGGACAUUUAGGUCAGGGGUGAAAUCCCGGGGGUCAACCGCGGAACUGCCUUUGAUACUGGGUGUCUAGAGUAGGAGAGGGGUGUGUGGAACUCAGAGUGUAGAGGGGAAAUUCGUAGGUAUUCGGAAGAACACCAGUGGCGAAGGCGACACACUGGCUCAUUACUGACGCUGAGGCGCGAAAGCGUGGGGAGCAAACAGGAUUAGAAACCCGUGUGGUCC